UACGGAGGAUGCGAGCGUUAUCCGGAUUUAUUGGGUUUAAAGGGUGCGUAGGCGGACUGUUAAGUCAGCGGUAAAAGCCCGGGGCUCAACCCCGGCGAGCCGUUGAAACUGGCGGGCUGGAGUCGGAGAGAAGUACGCGGAAUGCGCGGUGUAGCGGUGAAAUGCAUAGAUAUCGCGCAGAACUCCGAUUGCGAAGGCAGCGUACCGGCGCCACACUGACGCUGAGGCACGAAAGUGCGGGUAUCGAACAGG
Molecule: ribosomal RNA, 252 nt
Filed under: uncultured Bacteroidales bacterium
Lineage: Bacteria; Pseudomonadati; Bacteroidota; Bacteroidia; Bacteroidales
Description: partial 16S ribosomal RNA
Rfam family: Bacterial small subunit ribosomal RNA
Source: RNAcentral